Xyrichtys novacula (pearly razorfish) is the source of this 4114-nucleotide non-coding RNA. The record is from the annotation of a GenBank genome assembly. NCBI's taxonomy places the organism in Eukaryota, Metazoa, Chordata, Actinopteri, Labriformes, Labridae.
AUUUACAGUUUCUUGUCACUGUCAAUGUGAAUGUUUUAAAAAGAGCAAAUCAAACAUUUCCAUUAAUUCACCUUCUAUUUCACUGUAUUUUACUCCAUCUACAGCUGAGUAUUAACUGUCUUUUGUUCUGUAUCUUGGAUUGACUUGACCUGUUUUUAGUUUAACGCCUGACCUCAGAGCUAAAUUUAGGGAUGAGUUCAUAAAAAGCCCUGGUUUGCUUGGAAAAUGGUCAGCUUAAGCAAACUCAAACCAGUAAAGUCUGCGAUGAUUCAGCCCCAAACCAAGAAGAACCAUGUGUACUGUAGUUGUGACAGCAAACCAAUAACCUUACAACGUUCCUCUGCAGAGAGCAACAAACUCCAACACCCUGAGCUUGUAGUCUUUAUCCUCUCCACUUCACACGGCAGCUGGAAGAGAGCAGCAUCUCUCUUAUCAGUGUGUGUGUGUACGCUUGUGUACAGUAAAGGCCUAAUCUAAUCACCACACACUCACUGCUUCCUCCAGGUGUAUUACUGUACCAGGAGUGUAAUGCAGAGAGAGGGAGAUAAGUAAUAUUGAUCUGAUGCAGCGAUUGUCACUCUGUUGCCUGCCUUGAAUAGCUAAUCUCUUUUCUCACGGGUCAGAGUGAAGAAAGGCGACGGGGCUGCAGGUUUAACCACAACAAAUCUAUGAAUUGUUUCCAACACAGGGCGAUCAAGCUCAGACUGGAUGUGAAAUUGUAUCUCCGAGCUGUUGUUGGCAGAAAUAACGAUGAUUGUGAUGAUGUUGAUAGUGUUAAUGGACAAGUUUGGGGUGAUUUUAGCUCUGUGGCGAGACACGGAAAUGUACUUUGAAACUUGUGAGCACUUUGAAAAUAUUCUACAAAUACAGACAAGACAGAGAUCACAUGAUAUAUUCACGUCUGUGCCCAGACUGAUGGGGCCUCAUGGAGUUCAGUAGCAUGGGUGGCAGUAGCUCAGGGGGUAGAGCAGUCGUCCAAUAACUGGAAGGUUGGCGGUUCGAUUCUCCCCUAUCUCAAGUCUGUCCGUUGUGUCCUUGGGCAAGACACUUAACCCACCUGAGUGUUGAGUGUUGUGUGGUGGUGGUCGGAGAAGCCAUAGGCGCAAACUCGCAGCCAUGUUGUGACUGCUACGGUAGUUUAUCACCAAGUUGUGACUGUGUGAGCGACUGAAUGAUGUAUCCAAUGUAAAGCGCUAUAUAAAAUCUGAUGCAUUAAUUAAUUAGUAGCACUCAAAUAGGAAACUUCCUUGGCCUUGUGGUCCAAGUGCCUUCGUGUAAAGAGGUAAUGGUUCUCCUUGCAGUAGUUACUGGUCCUACUCCCUGAUGUAAGUCUUUUCUGCUCUCUAGCUGUCCCAUCACACAAAAGCCAUUACUAAAUAUACCCAAGCAAAGAGUUUUGUGCAAUUCUUGAAUUAAUAAAAACUUCCUUAUCCAUGUUCAUUUUCCAGCUCAUAAACUUGCUUAAAGUGUCUUAAGUUGGACUGUUUUCACCUGAGAGUGCCGUGAGCAUUUUUGGGCUUAGUACACAAAUCGCCAAAAGGACUGAGCUGUGCCGGUUUUGUGGAGAAAGCGGACCACCUGCUCUUAAAGUGGCGUUAGACCCUGACUCAUCGUGCCUGUGUUAAAAGCCGCUCCAGCUGAGUUUGGAUUGAGGACAGGCUGCUCUCAUUUGCAUUUAGACAUUUCAAAUUGGGAUCUCUCCCAUCUCCCAUGUGUCAGGGCGAGGUCCUCUUGUAUCUCCUCUGCACCCCCUCGCCCCCCUCCUCUGUAUACACAUCUAUCACCCGCUCCUCACCCACAUCUCCACCUGCAUUGGGAAAGGAGGGAUUGAUGUGGCGAACACGCCACAGUAGUUUCCAUUUACCAAGACCAAACAUCAGCAAGCAUAUCUCUGACACCAAAGGGUCUGCUUGGGUGCCCCCUCUCUCUCCUCCCUCAUUCUCAUUCCCCCCCUCUCCCCCUUCUCCUCUCCCCCCUCCACCCUUCCCGUCUUUACCCCCGCCAUCUCCUUUUAAUAUAGAAGCUGGAGAUGAAAAAUGGUGUGCUUUUGUUUAUUUGCCACCGAUGCAAAUGCGACCACAGCAGGAUUAGUGAGUUCUCCAUCUCUUUGCUGAUAGCGGUGGGAAGAAAGAGGGGAUUUUUAUGCAAAAAAGAUCUCUCCCACCCUUGCUAUGACAAUUGCAAUGCAUCACUUCAUAGACAGUUUUUAAUCUGUUUCAAACCAACCACACUUUGAACUGCUGGGAACGCGAGAUAUACAACUGUGGGUAUAUGCGUUUGUGCGCGGCUGUGUGUGUGAAGGGGAGUGCUUGUGUGUAUGUGCUGUAUGUGUUUUCCUGUGAUUAAUCUUUGGAGUUGGUUUAAGCACACUGCUGACACAGCACAGAUCGCCCUCUCUCUCUCUCUCUCUCUCUCUCUCUCUCUCUCUCUCUCCCUCUCUCUCUCUUUGGCUAACUUUGUCUCUCAGUCUGAACGCCCUUGGAUUUAGCUUUGAAUAACAAAAAGUUUCAAUCCUAAUUCACUGUUGGUCCAUUGUGUCCAACUUUUCUUUCAUUGUAAAGAAAACUUCACUCGGGGCCUGUAUAUUGAUCUUUAAUCAAAAAUCUGCAACACUUAAGCCUCUUAGAUUUACUGUACUCGCUCACGUUUCCCUCAGCGGAGACUGCAGAGUGAGAAUCACAAAAAAAAAAAAACUUGAAGGAAAAAGCGUCUCUGAAAGCUGCACACAAAGAGAUCAGUCUGCGGAAAUCUCUCUUUUUUUGUAGGUUUUAAGGACAAAGACGGACGGGAAUGAAAAGAGUGACCGCAAAGUCAGAACAGUGAUUAAUUUCUCAACAACAACAUUAACACUAGAGACGACCUGAUCGCACUCGUCACAUCAAAUCAAUUCAGAGGAAGAAGCCUGGUGCAUUUCUGUUCACAUCAACAUAAGUUUCCAUCUCAGGCUGGUCUUGAGAGUCGGGAAUAACAGAGACCAGGUUCAGGUGUGAAGCUACUGGAAAGAGUUGCAACAUACAGACAGACUUGUUGAAAUUAGAAAUUGACUAUAGGGGUGAAAGUUAAUGAAGUUAACUGUUCCAGCUAGCUAGCUAGCCUGGCAGCUAAGCUACAAGAGCAGUGCUAUUUGAUACUCAGCCGGACUGGUCUAUGUGGACCUUGAAGGCUGGAGCUCCUGAAUUAGGACACAGCUAAGGACUCAAUGUAGAAGACUUUGAAGUCUGAGCAUCCGUGCUUACUUUUUAAGGUUUUAUUUGACCGUAAAUGAACACGAGUCACAGCUAUUUUAUCUCAGGCUGACCUGCAUUUCAGCUACUGUCUCUUCAGAAGCCUCCUCCACUGUUGCCAGACUACAAAGUCCACUUUUUUUGUUGAAAUGAUAAAUUAUCAAAGAUCAUCAGUUUUCUUUACUUUUGGAUACCUUGAAAAAGCAGCAAUAUGGAUUUUGGUCUGCUUCAUAAACUUCCACUGAGCAACAGAUGGUUAUUAGACGUCUAGUUUUUUUUUUUUUUUUAGACCUUAUCUCAACUGUCUAGCUUCUAUAUAUUUCUAGACCGAAUUUAGAUGUUGUGCUUUAACCCAUUAACUAUUUAUAUCUAUUUAUAACAAACUACAACUAUCAUACUAUUUAUUUCAAAAAGCAACUGUGUGUUGCAUAACUGAUCUCCAAGUACUUAACCAGAAUAAUUAUGAUAGCCGUUGAGCAAUAUACAGUUAGACCUCUGUUAGCCGGCUAGUCUAAACUUGGUCUAAAUGUAGACCUCGAAAAAAAUGUCAUUUUUAGACCUGUGGUAGCCUGAUUUUAGACCAGUCAUCUAGGCUACAUUUAGACGUCUACUAGACCUCUUUUAGACCAAAAAAAAAUGCUCUGUGGGCGAUUAAAUGCAACUAAUGGCUUUUUGUCUGUUUCAUGGCCAGCUUUAAAACUCCACAGUCACUGUGGUUUUAUCAUCGACUUCUAUCAGAGUCGCCUCUGUGGCCAUUUCUUGAACUGCCAUUUUCUCUGCUUGCACCUUGGCUCAAGUUUUCAGCCCUGAAAUUUACUGUUUGUUCUGACGGGACACAAGCUGGACACUUUCCAUUUUGGGGGUACAUACGUUGUUCUGUGCAAGUCGAA